This 730-nucleotide ribosomal RNA is filed under the name uncultured bacterium. RNAcentral describes it as "bacterial SSU rRNA". It matches the Rfam family "Bacterial small subunit ribosomal RNA", at positions 64 to 793 of the family's 1533-position model. The record is from RNAcentral.
GAACGGUAGCAGGCUUUCGGGCGCUGACGAGUGGCGGACGGGUGAGUAACGCGUAGGCAUCUGCUGGUAGUGGGGGACAACGUGGGGAAACUCACGCUAAUACCGCAUACGCCCUACGGGGGAAAGCGGGGGCUCUUCGGACCUCGCGCUAUCAGAUGAGCCUGCGUUAGAUUAGCUAGUUGGUAGGGUAAAGGCCUACCAAGGCGACGAUCUAUAGCUGGUCUGAGAGGACGAUCAGCCACACUGGGACUGAGACACGGCCCAGACUCCUACGGGAGGCAGCAGUGGGGAAUAUUGGACAAUGGGCGCAAGCCUGAUCCAGCAAUACCGCGUGUGUGAAGAAGGCCUUAGGGUUGUAAAGCACUUUCAAUUGGGAGGAAAACCUGCCGGUCAAUACCCGGUAGCUUGACAUUACCUUUAGAAGAAGCACCGGCUAACUCCGUGCCAGCAGCCGCGGUAAUACGGAGGGUGCGAGCGUUAAUCGGAAUUACUGGGCGUAAAGCGUGCGUAGGCGGUUCGUUAAGUCAGAUGUGAAAGCCCCGGGCUUAACCUGGGAACUGCAUUUGAAACUGGCGGACUAGAGUUGAGUAGAGGGGAGUGGAAUUUCAGGUGUAGCGGUGAAAUGCGUAGAUAUCUGAAGGAACACCAGUGGCGAAGGCGACUCCCUGGACUCAAACUGACGCUGAGGUACGAAAGCGUGGGUAGCAAACAGGAUUAGAUACCCUGGUAG